CACUCCUACGGGAGGCAGCAGUGGGGAAUUUUGGACAAUGGGCGAAAGCCUGAUCCAGCAAUGCCGCGUGAGUGAAGAAGGCCUUCGGGUUGUAAAGCUCUUUUGUCAGGGAAGAAACGGUGAAAGCUAAUAUCUUUUGCUAAUGACGGUACCUGAAGAAUAAGCACCGGCUAACUACGUGCCAGCAGCCGCGGUAAUACGUAGGGUGCAAGCGUUAAUCGGAAUUACUGGGCGUAAAGCGUGCGCAGGCGGUUUUGUAAGUCUGAUGUGAAAUCCCCGGGCUCAACCUGGGAAUUGCAUUGGAGACUGCAAGGCUAGAAUCUGGCAGAGGGGGGUAGAAUUCCACGUGUAGCAGUGAAAUGCGUAGAUAUGUGGAGGAACACCGAUGGCGAAGGCAGCCCCCUGGGUCAAGAUUGACGCUCAUGCACGAAAGCGUGGGGAGCAAACAGGAUUAGAAACCCUGGUAGUCCCA
RNAcentral lists this ribosomal RNA (472 nucleotides) under uncultured organism. Its description in RNAcentral is "partial 16S ribosomal RNA". It matches the Rfam family "Bacterial small subunit ribosomal RNA", at positions 334 to 797 of the family's 1533-position model. The record is from RNAcentral.